This 1428-nucleotide long non-coding RNA is filed under the name Oryzias javanicus (javanese ricefish). RNAcentral describes it as "lncRNA (ENSOJAG00000015818.1)". Lineage: Eukaryota; Metazoa; Chordata; Actinopteri; Beloniformes; Adrianichthyidae. The record is from RNAcentral.
UAAGUGAUACAACUAGUCCUUUAAAUUGUCAUACUCAUAGAACGUAUCAGCAAAAUAAAUAGUUAUUUUAUAGAGAAUUAGGAUAACAUACUCUUUUACCUCCUUUCGUUUUCUCCACCGUCUGUCUUCAAAUUAGUUAGUCUUCUUCUGGUUUUACGGCGGCUGGCAACCAACUAAAAGGCACAUCACCGCCACCUACUGGUCAGGGGUCAGAAGGUAGAUAUCAAACCACCAUGACACGUCAAACCCCCAUGACAUCCGCCAUGUUUUCCUGCAGCUGGAUACUCUUGGUUAAUGUAGUUAGUUUAAAAAAAAAAAAGAAGUAACACUAGAACCGAAUUGUGGACUCAAAUCCAUAAAACGUAUUUUUCAGCUUUAUUAUUAUAUUUUUUAAUCUCCAAACAAAUUUUUCACGGUUCGUGAUACUGUAACCAUUCUAAUGUUCAAUAAAGUUGGACCGUUUUGAAGUCUCUGACGUCAUUGCUCUUCGAUCCCGCCUCUGCCAGCGCUCUGCUGCCCCCUGGAGAUCAAUCCGCAGAACGUGAAGUUAGCAGUUGUGGAGCGCUGCUUUUCAUUCUUUCAACUUCUGCAGAAACCAUGAACCGUCAGAAGAAAAGUCUUUUACACCCAUCGCGCCCCGGUCUUCCUCAGAGAGCGGUGCCCGGAUUCAACCCGCUGCCGCCCAUGAGAGUUCCGCCGCAGUUCAUCGAGGCCAUGAGGCGCAUCGCCGGGAACGACUCUGCAAACCCAGAGCCGAAUCGGGGAGAGCCCACGGGAGCUGCAGAACAGCAGUCAGUCAACAAGUGGAAGUCCUCCUUCAAACUUGUGGGUGAUCAGGAGGACAGUCCUCAGGAGAAAACCACUAGCGGUGCAGAGAGGACUGAACUUUAUGAUCCCAGUAGUCCUCUGUCAUCAGACUCUGAGCCUGAGGUGUUGCAGGCCCCACCCCCCACCUGUUCCCCACUCAGUCUGGGGGUCAUCCUGCCCCGUCAGCCCUUGUCUCCAGAGAGACAGCGUCAUGACAGCAGGCGGUGGGAAAAUGAAAGCCGACUUCUUGACAGACAGGACCUUGUCCCAGGAAGCAGACCCUCUGAGAACAGAAGGCUCAGUCCUGGUUACAGACUGGCUCAAAGACGGGCCUACAGCCCAGAUGGGGGUCCUCUCCGAUGCCAGGGCUUUGGCUUCAACAGGGAUUCGUUGGACCAACAGAACCACAGUCCUCUUGACAGACUGGUUCAUGCCCCCCCCCACACCAGCCAGGGGCUCCUGCGGGAGGACAAGGAGAGGAGGGGAGGACUCUGCCUGAACACAGGAGAGAGGCAGCAGCUCCACCCAGAACGUCUCCACCCAGAUUUAAGAGAGAUUAUCAACAUCUCAGACCUUUGGAAACAGUGGAAAUGGAUCAGGACUUGCCUUGGACAAAAAUGA